CCUACGGUGGGCAGCAGUGAGGCAUAUUGGUCAAUGGGCGCGAGCCUGAACCAGCCAAGUCGCGUGAGGGAAGACGGCCCUACGGGUUGUAAACCUCUUUUUCCGGGGAGCAACGGGCGCCACGUGUGGCGCCACUGAGAGUACCCGGAGCAAAAGCAUCGGCUAACUCCGUGCCAGCAGCCGCGGUAAUACGAAGGAUGCGAGCGUUAUCCGGAUUUAUUGGGUUUAAAGGGUGCGUAGGCGGAGCGUUAAGUCAGUGGUCAAAUUGAGGGGCUCAACCCCUUCCCGCCAUUGAAACUGGCGCUCUUGAGUGGAAGAGAAGUAUGCGGAAUGCGUGGUGUAGCGGUGAAAUGCGUAGAGAUUAGGAAGAACACCAGUGGCGAAGGCGAUUCUCUGGACUGUAACUGACGCUGAGGCUCGAAAGCGUGGGGAGCAAACAGGAUUAGAUACCCUGGUAGUC
RNAcentral lists this ribosomal RNA (460 nucleotides) under uncultured bacterium. RNAcentral describes it as "partial 16S ribosomal RNA". It matches the Rfam family "Bacterial small subunit ribosomal RNA", at positions 338 to 795 of the family's 1533-position model. The record is from RNAcentral.